This 65-nucleotide transfer RNA is filed under the name Callista chinensis. RNAcentral describes it as "tRNA-Leu". Lineage: Eukaryota; Metazoa; Mollusca; Bivalvia; Venerida; Veneridae. The record is from RNAcentral.
AUUAAGGUGGCAGAAAUUAUGCGUUAAAUUUAAGCUUUAAAGAUGAAAGACUCUUUCCCUUGAUA